CAGCGCACAUCCAGAGGGGCCCCAGGAGCUCUUUCAACCUCAGCUUCAGAAUCUAACACAUCCAGAAACACCAACAAUAAAAUAACGACCCACUCUCCUUUGUGGAAGCUCACAAACGUCCCCUCCUGUUCCCUCGUCUCAUCAGAGCCUCCUUAAGGAGAGGUGGAUAACUCAAUGAUUGUUGAUGGAAACACUCUCCUGGUGCAAGUA
Trematomus bernacchii (emerald rockcod) is the source of this 210-nucleotide long non-coding RNA. RefSeq lists it as uncharacterized. The transcript has 2 exons. Lineage: Eukaryota; Metazoa; Chordata; Actinopteri; Perciformes; Nototheniidae. The record is from RefSeq and is a predicted model, not a curated record.